GGGAAUGUAGCUCAGCGGUAGAGCACUUGCCUAGCACACACCAGGCCCUGGGUUCAACUUCCAGCACACCAA
This 72-nucleotide transfer RNA is filed under the name Cavia porcellus (domestic guinea pig). It matches the Rfam family "tRNA". From Rfam's summary of the family: Transfer RNA (tRNA) molecules are approximately 80 nucleotides in length. Their secondary structure includes four short double-helical elements and three loops (D, anti-codon, and T loops). Further hydrogen bonds mediate the characteristic L-shaped molecular structure. tRNAs have two regions of fundamental functional importance: the anti-codon, which is responsible for specific mRNA codon recognition, and the 3' end, to which the tRNAs corresponding amino acid is attached (by aminoacyl-tRNA synthetases). tRNAs cope with the degeneracy of the genetic code in two manners: having more than one tRNA (with a specific anti-codon) for a particular amino acid; and 'wobble' base-pairing, i.e. permitting non-standard base-pairing at the 3rd anti-codon position. The record is from Rfam by way of RNAcentral. Lineage: Eukaryota; Metazoa; Chordata; Mammalia; Rodentia; Caviidae.